AUAGCCUAAUGCAUUAUUUUAAUGUUUAAUCGACCAUGUCGAAUAAAAUUCUAGGUAGAGUUUUGACAAUGACAUUCUCUAUCUAUGUGUCUUGACCAAAUUACGUGCCAGCAGUCGCGGUAAUACGUAAAAGACUAGUGUUAUUCAUCUUUAAUAGGUUUAAAGAGUACCAAGACGGUUAAUAAAGCCCCUAAAGGGUACAAAUUAACUAGAGUUAUAUGAAAGGGAGCUCUUAGGUACUGUUGAGUGUAGAGAUGAAAUUCUGUGAUACCAGAUGAUUGGCACGGGUCUAUGCGAAGGCAUCUCCUUAUGUAAUAACUGACGUUGUAGGACGAAGGCUUUUGAAGUGAACAGGAUUCGAUACCCCAGUAAUCUAAGCAGAAAAUGAUGAGUGUCAUAGGUUAAAUAUAAUUUAGUCUAUAAAUGAAAGUGUAAGCAUUCCACCUCAAGAGUAAUUUGGCAACAUUGGAACUGAAAUCAUUAGACCGUUUCUGAAACCAGUAGUGAAGUAUGUUGUUUAAUUUGAUGAUCCGCAAAGAACCUUACCACUUUUAAUAAUGUUAAAAUUAUUAUUUUUUUUUUUUUUUUACAUUGUUAAAAUUAUUAUCUUGAAUAAAUAUUUUUUUAAUAUUUACAAGCGUUGCACGGYUGUCUUCAGUUAAUGUCGKGAGAUUUUGGUUAGUUCCAUUAAAUUAACGAAAACCCUUACUUUAUUUUAAUAUAAAGUUGUUCACCGUUAUAUUGGAUAUGAUAAUAGGGACCAGGACAAGUCAUCAUGACCUAAAUAUUGUGGGCUAUA
RNAcentral lists this ribosomal RNA (799 nucleotides) under Peltigera collina. RNAcentral's name for it is "SSU rRNA". It matches the Rfam family "Bacterial small subunit ribosomal RNA", at positions 400 to 1218 of the family's 1533-position model. Lineage: Eukaryota; Fungi; Ascomycota; Lecanoromycetes; Peltigerales; Peltigeraceae. The record is from RNAcentral.